GCGGUAAUACGAAGGGGGCUAGCGUUGUUCGGAAUUACUGGGCGUAAAGCGCACGUAGGCGGACAUUUAAGUCAGGGGUGAAAUCCCAGAGCUCAACUCUGGAACUGCCUUUGAUACUGGGUGUCUUGAGUAUGGAAGAGGUAAGUGGAAUUCCGAGUGUAGAGGUGAAAUUCGUAGAUAUUCGGAGGAACACCAGUGGCGAAGGCGGCUUACUGGGCCUGUACUGACGCUGAGACACGAAAGCGUGGGGAGCAAACA
RNAcentral lists this ribosomal RNA (258 nucleotides) under uncultured bacterium. Its description in RNAcentral is "partial 16S ribosomal RNA". It matches the Rfam family "Bacterial small subunit ribosomal RNA", at positions 517 to 774 of the family's 1533-position model. The record is from RNAcentral.